CGGAUUCUGGCUCAGGAUGAACGCUAGCGGCAGGCUUAACACAUGCAAGUCGAGGGGCAUCGGGAGUAGCAAUACUUGCCGGCGACCGGCGCAAGGGUGCGUAACGCGUGAGCAACAUGCCCGUAUCAGGGGGGAUAAUCCAUGGAAACGUGGUCUAAUACCCCAUAGUAAUUAUGUAAGGCAUCUUAUAUAAUUUAAAGCUUUGGUGGAUACGGAUUGGCUCGCGUGACAUUAGCUGGAUGGUAAGGUAACGGCUUACCAUGGCUACGAUGUCUAGGGGUUCUGAGAGGAAGGUCCCCCACACUGGAACUGAGACACGGUCCAGACUCCUACGGGAGGCAGCAGUGAGGAAUAUUGGACAAUGGAUGGAAAUCUGAUCCAGCCAUGCCGCGUGCAAGGAAGACGGCCCUAUGGGUUGUAAACUGCUUUUGUAUGGGAGCAAUAAGGGCUACGUGUAGUCCGAUGAGAGUACCAUACGAAUAAGCACCGGCUAACUCCGUGCCAGCAGCAGC
This 512-nucleotide ribosomal RNA is filed under the name uncultured bacterium. RNAcentral describes it as "bacterial SSU rRNA". It matches the Rfam family "Bacterial small subunit ribosomal RNA", at positions 13 to 518 of the family's 1533-position model. The record is from RNAcentral.